Molecule: ribosomal RNA, 253 nt
Filed under: uncultured Lachnospiraceae bacterium
Lineage: Bacteria; Bacillati; Bacillota; Clostridia; Lachnospirales; Lachnospiraceae
Description: partial 16S ribosomal RNA
Rfam family: Bacterial small subunit ribosomal RNA
Source: RNAcentral
UACGUAGGGGGCAAGCGUUAUCCGGAUUUACUGGGUGUAAAGGGAGCGUAGACGGUACGCCAAGUCUGAAGAGAAAGCCCGCAGCUCAACUGCGGGACUGCUUUUGAAACUGCCAAGCUAGAGUGUCGGAGAGGUAAGUGGAAUUCCUAGUGUAGCGGUGAAAUGCGUAGAUAUUAGGAGGAACACCAGUGGCGAAGGCGGCUUGCUGGACGACGACUGACGUUGAGGCUCGAAAGCGUGGGGAGCAAACAGG